ACUGGCAUGCCUUUUUUAGCUAAACUUUUGUUAUUUUAGAAUCUUUGGUCAAAUGGCCAAACAAAUACCAUUUGACAUAACAACUUCUGCUCGCAACCAUGUACGAUGGAGGUAUAACAGGGUAUCAAGACAUGCACAUAGUCACCGUGACAAUAAACAGAACUGAAAGAGCAAGAAAUACUCGUUUUCCGGAGAGAUCACAAGCUCACAAUCAUUCCAACUAGCACUAAGGACCAGCAGCGCGAGUAACCUGAACCCAUGGGUGAGUUCAUAACUGCAGCUUUUGGACAGUGAUACUUGAGCGUCUCAGAGAAACAUCCAAGUGAAAACGUCAAUUAGAAUCAGAAAAAAACACCCCAUACCAGUACAACAUAUGAGCACACGCAGGCACACAAACGAAGCCAUCAUCGUCGUCUGCGGACGCACGCCAUGGCUGGGCUUGACUGCUCCAACUUCUGUUAGACAGACCCACCAUAGGAGCGAUAGCAUAAAAGACCAUUUUAACCUGAAACCCAAUAAACAAACAGCUGAAACUUCCAUUUCGUUAUGAUGAACAAAAGAAUAUUAAAUGGAUAAAUUGGUGUAAUAGCUUCUCGGCAACCUCACAUGCUCAUUUGCCUGGUUUUCAUUUUUUUUAAAUAAUUGUUCAACGAACCUCCCCGCUUCGUGAGUUUGAACUUAUGAAUUUAUUAGAAGUGAACUUGUGUGAGACUUUCUUUGCAUAGCGUAGUACCAUUUGUUUGUUUAGUUUUUCAUACAUAGCGAACUGUCAUAUAAUUUUGAGCGAACUUUUUUGUACAUUUUUAAGUGUGAAAAAUGAACUUGUUUCCUACGCUAUUGCUGUUUUUGCAUGGUCGUCUUACGUUCCUUAUGUACUUAAACUGAUUAAAGUUUGAAGAUUUGAACUUAUGUUUUCUUAAGUAUCGACUAUGCAAAAUAUAUAAAUCCAUUAUUCUUAAGUAUAGACAAUGACAGAGGAAGAGAGGAAGGGCAGGAGUCAGGGGAGCCAGAGGAAGAUCUAUAGAAAAAUCAAAAGAUAAAUUUUGAUAAGAACGUUACAAGUUUGAAACCAUUCAAGAAUUAAAUUCCUAUGGCUAGUAGCUAUGCAGGAUUUAAGUGAACUCUCAGUAAAAGUAAUUUUCGUACUCCACAUGUAGUAAUACCAGGACUUGCUGUGACAUGUGUUCUUUAUAGUAAAUCGAGGAA
This 1206-nucleotide long non-coding RNA is filed under the name Triticum aestivum (bread wheat). RNAcentral's name for it is "long non-coding RNA (TAES_LNC008427)". The record is from RNAcentral. Lineage: Eukaryota; Viridiplantae; Streptophyta; Magnoliopsida; Poales; Poaceae.